RNAcentral lists this ribosomal RNA (1194 nucleotides) under Klebsiella pneumoniae. RNAcentral's name for it is "partial 23S ribosomal RNA". It matches the Rfam family "Bacterial large subunit ribosomal RNA", at positions 1 to 1238 of the family's 2925-position model. Lineage: Bacteria; Pseudomonadati; Pseudomonadota; Gammaproteobacteria; Enterobacterales; Enterobacteriaceae. The record is from RNAcentral.
GGUUAAGCGACUAAGCGUACACGGUGGAUGCCCUGGCAGUCAGAGGCGAUGAAGGACGUGCUAAUCUGCGAAAAGCGUCGGUAAGGUGAUAUGAACCGUUAUAACCGGCGAUGUCCGAAUGGGGAAACCCAGUGCAAUUCGUUGCACUAUCGUUAACUGAAUACAUAGGUUAACGAGGCGAACCGGGGGAACUGAAACAUCUAAGUACCCCGAGGAAAAGAAAUCAACCGAGAUUCCCCCAGUAGCGGCGAGCGAACGGGGAGCAGCCCAGAGUCUGAAUCAGCUUGUGUGUUAGUGGAACGGUCUGGAAAGUCCGACGGUACAGGGUGAUAGUCCCGUACACCAAAAUGCACAGGCUGUGAACUCGAAGAGUAGGGCGGGACACGUGGUAUCCUGUCUGAAUAUGGGGGGACCAUCCUCCAAGGCUAAAUACUCCUGACUGACCGAUAGUGAACCAGUACCGUGAGGGAAAGGCGAAAAGAACCCCGGCGAGGGGAGUGAAAAAGAACCUGAAACCGUGUACGUACAAGCAGUGGGAGCACCUUCGGGUGUGACUGCGUACCUUUUGUAUAAUGGGUCAGCGACUUAUAUUCUGUAGCAAGGUUAACCGUAUAGGGGAGCCGCAGGGAAACCGAGUCUUAACUGGGCGUUAAGUUGCAGGGUAUAGACCCGAAACCCGGUGAUCUAGCCAUGGGCAGGUUGAAGGUUGGGUAACACUAACUGGAGGACCGAACCGACUAAUGUUGAAAAAUUAGCGGAUGACUUGUGGCUGGGGGUGAAAGGCCAAUCAAACCGGGAGAUAGCUGGUUCUCCCCGAAAGCUAUUUAGGUAGCGCCUCGUGAACUCAUCUUCGGGGGUAGAGCACUGUUUCGGCUAGGGGGUCAUCCCGACUUACCAACCCGAUGCAAACUACGAAUACCGAAGAAUGUUAUCACGGGAGACACACGGCGGGUGCUAACGUCCGUCGUGAAGAGGGAAACAACCCAGACCGCCAGCUAAGGUCCCAAAGUCAUGGUUAAGUGGGAAACGAUGUGGGAAGGCACAGACAGCCAGGAUGUUGGCUUAGAAGCAGCCAUCAUUUAAAGAAAGCGUAAUAGCUCACUGGUCGAGUCGGCCUGCGCGGAAGAUGUAACGGGGCUAAACCAUGCACCGAAGCUGCGGCAGCGACACUAUGUGUUGUUGGGUAGGGGAGCG